GCCGGAGUGGUGAAAUUGGUAGACGCAGAGGACUCAAAAUCCUCCGACCUUACGGUCAUCCGAGUUCGAUUCUCGGCUCCGGCACCA
This 87-nucleotide transfer RNA is filed under the name Deltaproteobacteria bacterium. RNAcentral's name for it is "tRNA-Leu". It matches the Rfam family "tRNA". From Rfam's summary of the family: Transfer RNA (tRNA) molecules are approximately 80 nucleotides in length. The record is from RNAcentral. Lineage: Bacteria; Pseudomonadati; Myxococcota; Myxococcia. RNAcentral also lists the same sequence under 3 other names.